CACACACACACACACACACACAUACACUGUCUUUGCGCAACGUUUUCCUUGUGCUCUUUAACACACACACACACACACACACACACACACACACACACACACACACACACACACACACACACACACACACACACAUGCAACCUCAGGUGGAACGGGUGCUUGCGGGCGCCGACCGUUGGUACUUUGACGCAUGGAAGCUGGCGGAGGUGGCGCAGGCAAGUCGGCAGCCGCCGUCCUAUAGCCAGCCGGGACCACCGCCGUGACGUACGAUCCGCGCGCGGCCUCCACUUGAACCUGCUGCACACGCACCUGUUCUCAUGGCGUUGGGCUUACACGGCUUCCGCAUGAUCUGGCCAGCCAUUGCCGGCAGCUGAGUUGUGCUCGGCCGCCCUCCCGCACACCUCGCUGGUCACACGCACGCGUAGGGACAUGCGCUGAGCGCUCUGGGCUACUACCUCAUUCAACGGGAGGGGCUGAUUGACAAGUUCCGACUCAAGCCCGUCAUGCUGGCCAGGUAUGGCCGUACGAGCUAACGUUCUUGUGUGUGCCAACGCGAUGCCCUAUCAGGCUGAUGCAGUCGGAGGUGCUGGUCGGGCAGGGCCUCGUGGUGUUGUGUUGUGGUUGUGUCGGUGCCCUCUCGUGGCCUUGCCUUGACGGGGUGGCCUUACUUGUGCCGCGCCCGCUGCACAGGCUCUUGCGCACCAUCGAAUCCGGGUACAACCCAGACAACCCCUACCACAACGCCACGCACGCGGCCGACGUGCUGCAGACGCUGCACGUGAUCAUCCACGGCGCCGGGCUGCACGCAGGUGGGAGCGUGAGAAGCGCGUGCCACCGCGUUACGGAGUUCUGGUGCGCCCUGCGAACAAUCCAGUGCGGACGCUUUCUUGUCGCGUCGUUACGAUGAUCUGGGAGCCAAGCUACUCACUACGCAAUUGUCGACUUGUGUACCGUAUGUGUGUGUAGGCUACCUGGAUCGGCUAGGCCUGCUGGCCGCCUAUUUUGCGGCCAUGGUGCACGACCACGGCCACCCCGGCCUCACCAACGACUUCCUCAUCGCCACCGGGGACGUGCUGGCGGUGCGCUACAACGACAAGAGCCCGCUGGAGAACCACCACGCCGCCUCCGCCUUCGCGCUGCUGCAGCGACACGACCUGGACCUGCUGGGCCACCUGCCGCAGCAGGACCGCGCCGCCUUCCGGAAGCAGGUGCGCGUGGGGGUUGUAACUACCAGCCCAAACUGAACCAAACUAAGCCAAACUAGCGGAGCACAGGCAGCGGCGACAGGGUUAUGUAAGUGGUUGAGCGGUUGGGUGGGCGGUUGAGGUAGUUGGGAGGGUGGGCGUGGGUGUGGGUGCAUUGGUUGUGGGGAUAGCGGGCCAACAUCUUGGGCAGCUCCCGUUAAGGGGAUGCCGGAUGGUGUGUAUGGCACACAGCGUGCUGGGACACAGGAAGGGCGGGGUUAUGAGGCAGGCCCGGGGAGCAUGUGGUGGUAUUGAUUGAUCACGCUGUGCCUUCGUGACUGAUGGUGUUGCCGCAGGUGAUCGAGAUGGUCGUGGGCACGGACAUGAAGCAGCACUUCACCAUCCUGUCGCACUUCAACACCGCCCACCGCCUGCCCAGCUACGCGGCGCAGUCCGCCGCCGUGCCGGCGGGCAGCGGCGCCGCCAGCGCGGCGUCCACCCCCACGCGCGAAGGCCCGGAGCUCUCACCUCCCAGGUGUGACCCCUGCAUGCCCUCACUCACAGCACCAUCGCACUCCACUCUCGCCCUAUUUUUGCACACAGCCGCACGCAUACACUUGCACGCAUUCGCACAUACAGUUUCGAUCCCACCACCUUGUCCUUUCCUUAUAUACACGCACGCUCAAUCGCCCACACACAACAGUGAGCUGGCAUCGGGAGCCACAGCUGCCGCCGGGUCUCUGAGCGCCAGCCCCACCGCCGCCGUGUCCACCGCCCAGCCGCCACCUGGGUCGGCGCCGUCACCCUUGGACGAGGCGGAGCGGCUGCUGACUCUGCAGGUGGCGCUCAAGGCCGCGGACGUGGGACACCUGGGCGAGGAGCUGUGCGUGCAUGAGAGGUGCGCGAGGGGGAGGCGGGCGGUGGGCAGGCGGAGGGUGUGGGGCGGGAAGGAAGAGGAGGUGCAUGGGAGGGGCGCAGGGCGCAGGGCGCGUCAUGAUGCAUGCGACACACGGGCAGCGAUGACGGAAAGCUGAAGACACGUGAUGGUGGGUUGUGGUUGCAGGUGGUUGGGUGUGCUGGAGGAGGAGUUCUUCCGCCAGGGCGACAAGGAGAAAGCUCUGGGACUUCCAAUGAGUCCACUUUUCGACCGCGCCAAGCAGGGCGUCAGCAAGAGCCAAGUGGUGAGUGACACAUGCCACAUGCUACUGUCUAUCACAGAUUUCUAGGUGGUGAGUUAGCCACACCCAGCAGCCCACGCACUCAUCCACGUCCGCAACAUGACCAUGGUCUGGUUGUCAAGGUGGUGCGGGAACAUGUGUGACUACAAUCGAUCUACCUGUAUUAUUGUUAGUGGACGUGCUCAUGCACAUGCGCACACGCCUCCUAACACAACGCGCCUGCUGGCUAUCACAAACUUCCAUCUGCAGGGCUUCUACGACUUCGUAGCGCUGCCUCUGGUGCAUGCGCUGGCGAGCGCAUUCCCGGGUGCGCGGCCGUUGCUGACCGCGUUCCGACGUAACUACGGCCACUGGCGGGCGGUUGAGACAGCGGCCAGCAACUCUGGCAAGUAGUGACUCCCGCCGGGGUCGCAAGCAACCGGUUAGGAUCACGGCUGCCGCCUGGCGCUGGGGGCCAUUUCGUGAUGGUGGUGGGAUUCGGUUGUGUAGUCAACCGCUCUUUGGGUAUCUAGGGAUGAGGGAGGGUCGCAUUGCGCCAUCCGUGGCAGUGGGAUGCGGCAUUUGGUGCCUGAGGGCCAUGCGGGCGCCUUUGGGGAACUGCGGGGUUACUUCUAUUACUCACCAGUCCGCCUGUGAUUCGGGGUGUUUUGAUUUUAGGGUGAAGGGCGGCGUGCGUUGAAAGACGCACAGCAAUUCAGCCACCGCUGAUGCUGCCAGGUUGGCAACAUAAAAUACUAAUGGCAGCAUAAUGAACAAUGCAUUUGAAGUCCUCGACAGGAGAUUCUUCCACGCUUUCAAUGAGGGAUGGUUGUCAUGUGUAGUGGACGUGGCCAUGCAUGUGUUGAACAAAUUCUUUACAGUCGAUGCGCGUGUAUGCUUUGUCCCUGUUGGGUGCCCGCAUGGACGUGGACAUCACGAGUCAUGAGUCGAGGCAGAAGGCACGCAGUAUGUGCGGACGCGCAUGAGGAAGGAUGAAGAGCACGCAUUGCGCAUCGCUCGACUGAGAUUGAUGCCGCAGCCAAUGUUGAAACAUGCUGAACCUAAACAGACGGCGUCCCCAAUCAUGCCCUCUUGCGGUACUAGUGGAGGCAUGGGCCGUGCACGGUUGGUCCAGGGAUGGCGCAAAAAUGUGCAUGGCUUGUGGGUGGCAAUAGGCGGGGAGGGCAUGGUGCUUCACUGCCCCACUCUGUCCUUCAAUUGACGCGGGUCCACGGAAUGUAGCCGACUGCAAUGGGUACGCGGUGAUUGUGAGACUGCUGAUAGCAGCAUGGGUCUCUUCAUGACGGCGUGUGGCGCUGUUGUAUGUGGUGACGGGAAGCUGACGCUGGUGGGGUUUGGCUAUUGGUCGGGGCUGGGGCUGGGUGGCACGGCCCUUGCCUCGUGUGAUGCGCAGUGCUGAAGGGCAGGGUAGUAUGGACUGGGCAGGGGGUGGUAUGGACUGGGCAGGGGGUAGUAUGGACUGGGCAGGGGGUGGUAUGCGUAGUAUGCUGCACCGCACAUCAAAGCGCGUGGCAGCACGAAAGAGUUGUGAAAAGAGGCCAUGUGGGGUUCACCUCAACAGUUUUGAUCACAAGUCGCUCUGCACCGCUUGCCAAGGUGGUGGUGGUAGUGCGUUCCGCUUAUGCGUGGUGUCACGGGUGUAGAGGACCACUGAGCAGUGUGGUGAAAUAUGCACUGGUGUGCCCUGCAGGUGCGGGCAGCAGCUUGCUGCAGGGUGCACCUCCAGAACACCGUUUGGGCGGGCCGACGUGGGUGAGGUGUACCCUGGAUGCUGUAGGGCGUUGGCCUGAACGGCGCUUAGAACGCAACUGUACAGCAUGGCAGUGCCGCAACGGGUGAUGUGGGUACAAUGAUAAAUGUCAAUCAGUUAUGGGUGUUUGGUCGGUGCUAAUUGGCGUCCCUCGUAACGGCGCUGGUGACCAUGAAAGCCAGUGCGUUUGCUCCUUGCCUAGUUGCCUGCACUUGGUAGGCUACAAGCACGCCCGUGAACCCGUCCGUGUGCUCACUGUGGCUGCGCGGCAGGCGGCUGAGUAAAGCCUGAUGGGGGCUGAGGAGCACAUCUUGUGCCGUGCGUCAUGAGGAGUAGUACGAUAAACAGCUGAAUAACAUGGUGAAUGCCAGGAAGAUGGUGGGCCUGUGUGGUAAAGUCAUUGGAAUUGCCAGCUCGGGGAUGGAGGUCAGCCCGGUGCUGAUGGUGGCGCUGGAUGCGAUUCAUGUGCUGCUGGGGCCGUCGGAGCAGCGCGUGGUGAGCACUGGGGCUACCGUAUUGGGGAUCAGUUGAGAAGGAUGGGCGCGCGCUGCCGAUUGUUCACUCGCAUUGCCACUGUGGCGGUGGUGGCGUCAACAUAAUAUGCGCGCGUUGUCAAGGUAAACCUACCCCUCAGCCCCUGACACUAGCACUUGUUCCGAUGUAUCCGCUGCGUGGUUCUGCAGGACGGAUCUGAGCCGCCGCCGGCGCUGCAGGCGGUGGUGCGGCGGGAGUUGCGGCGGCUGGGCGCGCCGCGCCUGCUGGCGGACUGCGUGCGGGAGCUGCGGCUGCAACAGGCGGACGAGCAGGGCGAGGAGGGCCGGGCCCAGGAGGAGUGGGAGCGGGCGAGCGGGCGCACGGGCCACAGCGGGUAAUGGUCGCGUGCUUCCCGGAGCGGGAGCGGUGACGGGCUGUAACUAGCAGUGUCCUACCCCGCUGCGAAGCUGGGGCCCGCAGGUCCAUUGCUAGCUCCAACGCGACAGUCCCUGGCAGCAAGGACCUGACCAUUCCCAUCUCCAACUGCAGCGUGCCAGCCUCCUACGGCACGCGGUUAAUUUGCAUUUGUAGCUGAUCCUCAUAGCUAUGGUGCCGCAGGAGCCCAGGCGACAGGGUCACGGCCACCGCCGCCUGCCCCGCGAACACGUUCCACAACACAAAAGGCAACAUCACAGCAAGCCAAACCCUGUCCCCCGAAGUAACAGGAGAUGGGAGCUUGAAAGCCUGGGGCCGUGCCGUACGCACGCGUAGGCCCACGUUCUCGCCCACACAGCACGUCUGCUGGCUACCUCCAGAGAGCCAGCCGCAUGAUCACUACGACAUGAAUGUACCAGCAGCAGUUCGUUCCCGACCACCAUUCUUCUGCUGCCGCCGGCACAGGCCCCACACAUGAAUGCGCAACCCACUGACGCGCACUGGUACGGUACACACAGCCCCUGCGAUCCAGCCGCCUCCAGGCCAGCCGGCCCAUCCUCCUCGAACCAAUCACACCCGCAAUCGCACGGCAGUAGCAAGCACAUCUGGAGCUUUAGCCCCCGCCACCGCCCCCGCCACCGCCCCCGCCACCGCUGCGGCCGCCGCGCUGCAGCAGCGCUUACUGCUGCUCGCCGGCGGCGGCGCGGAUGACGUGGCGGUGGCUGGAGUCUGAGCCGCCGGUGGCGCCGCGGCGCACGGCAGCGGCCGCCGCCUCGGCCAGGCGGCUGGUGCCGGCGGCGGCGAGGUCGUCGGGGUCGUUGCGGUCCUUGAUGCCCCACAUGCCGCCGUGCAGCUUGCCGGUGCGCACGUCCUGCUCCAUCUGCCACUCGGGCUCGCCAUACCUGUGUUGUAAUUGGAAACAAACAGAGGUACAGAGUCGACAAGAGUGUAGGCGCACAAAUGCUCCAUUCCUUUCACAUGUUCACACACACAUGCCGCCACGCCCGCCGCCCGCCCGCCCUCACGCCCGCCCGCCCGCACCAGCAGUCGCCGCUCUCCAGCUGCAGGCUGUUGUCGCCGCGGCGCACGCGGAAGAAGCCGCGCUCACCCCAGUAGGUGCCCCUGCAGGCGGCAGGGGUGGAUAGCGGCACAGCACAGCACGUCAGCUAACAAGCGACGAAAACCCCGUGCAUGCACACACACACACACACACACACACACACACACACACACACACACACACACACACACGCACACACGCACGCACACAGGUGCGGUUGAGACACGGCUCUCACCAUCAAUGCAUUGCGAGCCUGAUGCUUUGCAUUGCGGGUCCCACACGACGAACCCUGUCGCUGGUGGGCCAGCCAGGCCAUCGCAGCAACAGCUCGCUAAGGACCCCGGCAACUCACCAGCUGUUGCGCACGAUCCAGUACUUCUCGCCGUCCUCCUCGCCCCAGCCCACAACCUCCACAUCUGCGCAGUCAAGAAGGCCACAGUGUAAGCGAGUGGCAUGUGCUGUUGCGCACGACCACUCCGCGUCGCCCCCCGGGCCGCCAUCCCACCACAUCCUUGCAACCCCCCCCCUCCGCCGCACCGUGGUCCAGCUCCGUGUCGCCGCUGGUGUCCUUGUAGAUGCCGCCGUUGUAGUGCCACGUGAAGUCUUCCGGGCACACCUGGCCGCACGUGAUGGGGCCGCGGUGGUAAAUCUCACUCAUCAUGGCCUGUGGUGGUCGGGGGAAUUAUGGGAGGGCGGAGCAGGGGGCCAGAGCGGUGAGGAAGGGCAGGGCAGGACGGGAGGCCGUGAGUUGCAGGCGUGAAGGCUCACAGGAAUUCCGGCGCACGCACUGUGUACUGUGUACCCGCAACUAGCUAUGCAACCACGCCUACCACCUCCAGCGCUCCACAACUACAAGAGUCAUGCGCAUUUCUCUGAAGCGCCCGCCACGCCACGCCACGCCACGCCACGCCGCGCCACGCACACGCCCCGCCUGCCUCACCUCCACGCCCUUGUCGACCUGGCCCCAGGCAGUGAGGUAGUAGCGGAUGGGGCGGUGGAUGGGCCAGCAGGUCUCCACGCCGUCCAGCGGCAUGCAGUUGUUGCACUCGCCAUGCGCGGGGCAGCGCUUGUGGCCGGGGAACUUGGUGUGGUCGGUGGCGUUGUAGGUCAUGCAGCCCUCGUCAGGCAGGCCGAAACUGCGGGGUGAUUGGUGGGUGGGUGAGUGGGUGGGUGAGUGGGUGGGUAGUGGGUCGGUUGGAAGGAGGGUACGCCUAGAUUACAACACGGAGGGGUGGACAAUAUGGGAUACACUGGGGCGGGGCGGCAGGAGGGGAGGGUGAGGGCCGCCCAAACCGUGACUCGCCUUCCCAAGGGCCGGGCCCCUGAGGGCCGCAGGGCCGGUUGUAAGGCAAGAUACCCCACGGCUGAGCGCACGCUAGGACCGUGCGCGUGCACGUGUGUAUUUGCUUCCGUGCCUGCGUUAGACAGCACAAGGCCUGCGCGUGUGUCAUGUGUGGCCCCGCCACCACUCGCCGCACACUCACUCGGUCAUGUACCCGAACACGUCCACCGUGUCGCCGCCGUCGCAGCCGUUGCCGUAGCCCUCGAACGCCGCGCAGUUGAGCAGCGUCUGGCGCGCCAGCAUCACAUCCGGCGUCUCACCCUUCUUCAUGAUCUUCAGGCUGCGCGAUGUGGUGUGCGAGCGUGCGUGCGGCAGGGAGAGAGGCAGGCUUGCGGUCAGCGCCGUCGAGGACGCCAAACGCGGACGCGAAUACGGUAUCGAGGCGUGCACGCGGCGCCAACCAUGCAGACGAAUGCCUGAGCUCCAGACUCAUGACAUCACAGACGCAGGACCGAAUCACUGGUUGCGCCCGUCUCCCAACGAAGCCUGCUGGAAAUUCACGCGCGUAACCCAACCCGGUUGUGGGAGAUGCGCCCCACCGGUCCUGGAUGGCCGACAAUGUGCCGUGCACCCAGCAAGAGCCGCAGUAGUAGGGGAUGUGCUGAUUCCAGUUGGCGACGCAGUAGCUGACGCCAUCCACGUUGCACUGCGCGGGUGGAGGGAGCGGCGGAGCCGCAGUGUGUAAAGGCGCGGGAAAGGGAAUAAAGGUGUGCGGAGCCCCGGGACCAGCACGUGUCCGCCGGUUUUAUCUCCCCGACUUCGCGGGCCCCGCCCCGCAAUCCCCAGCGCGCAAUUCUGUAUGCUUCCAUGACACAUAGGCGCGCACCCAGUUCCAGUUCUUUGGCAGCUCGUGCUCCUUCUUCAGCGGCGCCGGGACGUGGUUGAAAGACGUGCGCCGGCCCUCGCGGGGCUUUUGCAGACUCUUAUCGCGAGGACCAUGGCCCUGCCAGUUCUUGCCCGCGUCCACGCCCAGCAACGCGACACUCAGGCCAAUUGCCAACACUGCGAGCGCCCGGCAAAGUGGGCCGUGCAUUUUCAUGCCGGGUACUACUAAUAGGAUCACAGGCACACUAACAAAACAGUAUUCAGAAAGUACCCUACUGACGUAAAAUCCCGCCGAUUCUGGCCUCAACGGAUGACGGAUUGCCCGAGUCCGUGUCUUGGAACUAGUUAUGAUAAACACAAGUUAUAAGGCUCUAUGCCAGCAAACUAACAAACGUCGUCCGGAGUGCCGGAACCGACAACGUGCCAUACCCUUGCAUUCAGCACUCUGCCUCCAUAUGCCCCGUCACACACGCGUACACAGGUCCGGCCACACCUCUCCCUGGCCCUCUUCCUGGCCCUGAGGCCUGAGCAUGUGGAUGGAUGGUCGGUUUGGCAUGCCGGUGUUGGUCUUGUCGGCCGCACAGCCAGUGUUUAGGCCGCUUUUAGGCCUAUGGCGUGGGGGCCCCCUCCCCCGCGCUGCUGACUUGCACGAGCGGUACCUGGUGUUGUCCACGUGCCCACGCCGUGUUGGGCGAAUACGCUAACCUUCACUGUAUGGACGUGCAAGGACGUGCGGGGGCUAGGCGUCGGACCAUGCUGCUGAGGCCGUUAGGCCCAUCGAUGCUCGGGCACAUGGCGUCCAUUACCCCUUUGAAGUAGCCCGGAAAACGGGAGACACUGUCUAACGCUUCCACACCAUCAACUCUUUCCUCAGACUUUGGUUUCGAUCAAGUCCAAACUAGAAUGGCUCGACGAGCCUUGCACAUUACCGCUUUCGCGAUUUUGCUCACGUCUCUGCCGCUCUUAGCGAUCGCCGACCCUGAGGACAGCUAUGCAGAUCUGGCUGCUCGCGUGGUGCCGGCGAAAUUGCGGCAAGCCCUAAAGCUGCUGCCGUGCUUGACCGCGGACACGGGUGAGGCGCUCGGACCGGCGCUAGUGCGCUACUGUGCAGAGCUCGAGCCGGCAAGCUUUGGAGCGCCUGUGUGUGUACGUGGCUCGUAUCGGCUGUGGUGCCGCUUAAUUUGGGGGUUCCGGCGCGGGGGCUGCGGGGGCUGAAGGGGCGGUUAGGGUUUUCCCGACGGCAAACAGGCUACCCCUCCGGCCGCCUGCUAGCCGGGCCCGCCUACUCCAGCCUACACCAACAAGCCGGCAAUCCAACAUGAGCAAGCAUGCGUAUAUUGCCAUAGUUAUCUUGUUUGGACCAAGGACACAGAAAGCAGCUGACGAGGCGCCGCGUCAGCCUGCGAACCUCUGCCUGGCGCCGGGUUCCCCUACCACCGCCUGCCCCAACCAGUCCUGUCCUUCCCUCCUUCCUGCUCUCCGUGCGACGCGCUCCCCCCGCCACAAACAAACACGCACCUUGUGCUCUUUAGCACACAUACAGAGCCGCUGUCUGCUUGCGCAUACUUCACAUGCACUGAUACACUGUGUCGAACACUUGCCCUUCCACUUGUGCUUUCCUCUUUCCUACACACACACGCACACGUGUGUUCCAGGCCCCGGCGAGGUCAAGCCGCUGCGUGUGUCACUGCUGGAGGCGCGCGAGCAGCUGGACGUGUUCAGCUUCGCCUUCCCCAACCGCAUCCGAGACGCGGAGCCCCUGGCGUCCGCCGAGGUGCUCACCACCUGGGGUCGCGUCAAGGCCGCCAUCGGCGAGCUCCUGAGGGCCAUUGUCGACUGGAUCAACAAACACGUGAUCGACACAGGCGUCAGGGGGCUGGUGCGGCGCGGGGAGCCGCAGCAGCAGCAGCAGCAGCAGCAGCUGCAGGCCGCGGCUGACACGGCAUACCACCGGCACAAGGGGCGGGACCUGUGGCUGGACAUGCGUGCGGACCUGGAUGAGGGGUACGAGGUGCUGGGGGACUUCCAGGUGUGUGUGUGUGGGGGGGAUAAGGGGGGGAGGGGGGGGUGGAACGGCGCGGGUUGUGGGAGAUGAGGAAGGGCCACGAUUGACGCCAGUGCGCUGUUUGCCACGCCCUGUCACUACACGCCCAGUCACAUACGGUACCUGCUUCCACUGCAGCCACCUGGUGUCCGUCCGGUACUUAACGCCUGACUGGCUUCGGGUUUGUCUGAGUCAUGUCAGGCCUUGCAAACUCGUGCCCUGUCCGUCCCUUUCCCCUUAACUCAACCCCUCCUACACCCCCGGGUUCGGUUUAGUUUGGGCUGGAAUCUACAGCCCCCUUCUAACGCUUUCUUCACUGUUGGGACAUGUUUCGUUGGGAUCGGGCAAAUACCCCUUGCCCCGCGCUCUGUGGGCUGGUUCUGGGUUUUGGUUACUUUGGGACUGAAAUAAAGUAACCCUCCUUUUCCUGCCCCAGGACCUGGACCACUCGCUUGUGGAGUACAACCAGACUGACAUGGAGGUCAAACGGGCCGUGUGCCUGGACUGGCAGAGGCGCAUCAGCCGCCACAGCGCCACGUGAGGGCGGGGAGCGGGGAAGGGCGGGGAGGGGGAAAGGGUGGGGAGCGGAGUCUUGGGCCUUGGGUCUGCCCCGUGGCGGGUCCGUACGUGCCGCAUGGCUGCCGCGCUGUGUCUGGCGUAACCCAAACCCCGCACGCAACGCGGUUUCCCACGGCUCCUGUCCAUACUUGACCCCUGCUGCCCGCUCUGCCCACGCAGUGACCGCUAUCUGGAGUUUGUGAGCACGCCGCUGCACUCGGACGAGCUGUACACGCACAAGCACUCCAGCAAGUGAGGCGCCGCCCGAACCCGUGUGUCGCACGUGCGUCGCAUGGGUCUGCAGGACGCGCCGUGUGCGCGUGUUGCCUGAAUGAGGAAACCCAACGCUGAUGAUCCGUUCGGCCGCAGCGCUGGCUGCACUGCCACAGCUCUCCGUGUCCGCCUCACAUUAUUGGUCGCCUGUGCACCUGUUGCAAAAUGCGCACACGCCGCACCCGGGGGCUCCUGUGCCCUGACGCCAUCAACGUGCUGCCUGUGGCGCCACCCACACCGCCAUCAGCACCACCACCACUACCAUCACUAUCUGGCAUCACGCCUCCUCCACACCCCUCACCCUGCCCCCCUCAGGCUGUUUUGGGGCUACAACGGCGUCACUCCCGACACGGCGCUGACCGGGCUGCAGAACCUGGCGCUGAUGAUGCGGAGCAGGUGUGUGUGUGUGUGUGUGUGUGUGUGUGUGUGUAUAUGCGUGUGUUUGCUUUUGCGUUUGUGUGCGUGUGCGUGUGUGUGCGUGUGUGUGUGUGUGUGUGUGUGUGUGUGUGUGUGUGUGUGUCAGGCACGUGCGGGUGUGAGGUGGGGGAAACACACGUGCGGGCGGGGGGCAUCAGUCCGCGGGCGGGCGCCGGGCGGGCGCUGCGACCCCGGGCAGCCCGCCGCCACGCACAGGUGCGCGCCCUGUCUGUGCCUUUACCGCAUACGUCUUGCCUCCACACACUCGGCCCUGGCCCCAGCCUGAGCACACAACCCCCCUCGCUCGUUUGCAUCGGGUUUGGUUUACCUGGGCUGGUAUUUAUCCCCCCCGUGGCUGUUCCCCAAGAUUGUCUACCACUUCCAUUAGUCAUUAUGAAUGUAACCCCCCCUGUACACACCCGCCCGCAGUCAGCUGGCCCAGCUGCUGGCCUGGUACCCCAAUGUGACGGCGCUGCAGCCCGAUGACCUGCUGCAGGUGCGGGGCGUGGCGUGGGGAAGCGGGCGCAAUGGUGCAUGCAGCUCCCACCCGGGAUGGAGUGACACUGGGGCUCCGCGGGGGAUCGGGCUCCGUCCUGCGGCGUGUGGACAGACUGGAAGAACCUGCUUCACGUGUGUUGUCGAGUCAUCCUAUCCACCCACCCCACCCCAAUCACCACAGGACCCCGGCCACACCACCUUCCACAAGUUUCGCAAGCUAAUCAGGUGCGUGCCGCCGGGGUCAUGUGCACAAGUAUGGUAUGGAUCCAGGAAGCUCAUGUAGAAAUGGGUGGAGCGGCCUUCGUGCUGUGUUGCUUGUCAAGGCGUCAUGUCUUUGCUAGCCUACUUCCCGGUACGCGAUAUCUGCACAGCAGUAUGUGGACCGCUAUGAUAGAGCAUUUUGUAUGCAACGCCAUGCAAUUGUUACAUAGCAUCGUGGCCACAUCAGCAACACUGGAUCAACCCGGCCUACCCUCCACCAGGUCUAUUCUGGCGGUCCUGGCGGAGUUCCCCGAGCUGCUGGGCCCCGGCCGCAAGGAACCACACACCCGUGUCGCAGAGGUGGAGGGGGAGGCGCGGGCUGCCGCCGCGGCCACCACCCUGGCUGCGCGGCGCGCCCUCUCCAGCUACUCCAGCAGCAGCAGCAGCAGCAGCAGCCUGCAGCUACGCCGCAGCGGCGGCGGCGGCAGUGGCAGUGGCAGCCGCAAUGACGGUGUGGCGGUGCGGGACCCGUGUGACGCGGGUGCGGCGCUGAAGGCCCUCCAGCGCCUGUUCCACGACCUGGGCCAGACCAACGACAAGGUGCGGGGGGCAGGGCCGUGUGUCGGAAUGGUGGGCGCGUGUGUGGGUUGUGGGCUUGGGCACGGGCAGGGGACCUGGUAUGUCCGUGCGGGGUUCCGACGUCGAAGCGGCUGCGUGAUGGCAUCCGCGGCCAACACAAACCCCCUGCGAGCGGCUCGACACCCAACCUGCUGCGGUCUCGCCCGGCGGCGGGUCCGUCCCGGCGCUGCGCCCUCCCUACUCAGGUAUUCGCCUACCAGUUCUACUCCUCCCGCGGCGCCGAGUGGGCUGCCGAGGCGGAGGAGGCGCACCAGCAGGCGGCGGAGGGCUGGUCUGACAACCUGGACUUCAUGGCCUCGGCGCAGGUGGGCGCAGUGAGGGGUUAGUGUGAAUCGGUCCCAAAGGAACCGAGACCCAGGACUCGGGGGGGGGGGGGGAGGCGGAGGCGCGGGCGCGGGCGAGACUGGUGGGAGCCUGGGAUCGGGAGGUUGUCGAGUCGCUCUCAGCUCACAUCAGACACGUGGGGACUGAGGGGCUGGAGAGGAUGCCGGCUGUACGGGGGUAAGGAACAACAGAGGGGAUGUGGGUCGGGUCGGGCGUCGUGCGGGUUGUGGGUGACAGCGGCUGGUGCCGCUGGUUGCGAUAAAGCAGGCAUCCAAAAUCGCUUGUUCCGCAACCAUGCACCUUCCAGGACAAUGCCAGCGGCUCUUGGACUGCAUUUUGUGCCUGGCCGUGUUGCUUUCGCACAUGCUUUUGCGAGCUCGCCCCCUUGCCUCCCCCUUCUGAGAUGGAGAACAGCGGCAUGUCCCCUGUCCCUGCUCCCCUCCUCCUCGUCUCCCUGUCCUCGCGUUCCCCUCCGCGCCUCCGCCCGCUCCACUCAGGUUGACGUCAUGGCUCGGUGCAUUGCCGCCACACUGCCGCGGGGGGAGCAGCCGCUGCCCCAGCGCCGCCGCCGCCACAUGUAGAGCUAGGCGGGUGGGCAUUUGCAGCCCUUGUACUACCCGCAAUGGAUCAUAAAUACAUUUUACAGCCGUUGCAGCGCGUGCUGCAUGCAUUCAUGCUAGCGUUGGUUCUUUCACGGCGCUUAAAACAGCCGCAGUAGCCCGGUGGAGUAGCAGUCAGACGUGCAAACGUAUAAGGAUGUUGGGGGCUAAGCUGCGCGCUCGCGUGCGCUCGCGCGCACACGCCCAGCUACUGUGCGUAGCUGCUGCGGUGGCGGCGCCAGUGACUCCAAUCAUGUGCUGCGACCCAGCAAAACUGUUGUGUGCGCAUGCGUUUCAGUAAGUUGGGAGCGCUUGUUGGCGGCAGGAGUUUGUGGUGCAGGGGUAGUCAAGUUGUUGAUCGUGUCUGAGGCCUGUUGCACGCUCGGCACUUUGAUUCGAGGCUGGCAUGGGUACUGCUGCUCGAGAGCACGCAUCGCUGGGCUGUGUGUUGGGCUUCUGGGACUGGGAUGCAGACGUGUUGCUCAAAUGCAGUUUGCAACAAGCGCGGGCCUCACAGUGCCCUCCACGGGUGCGACAGCCCCCAUUGUGUAUAAGGGCCAUCCGUGGCUCUCGCCAACGCGGCGCCCCCACACGCGAACAAUGUGUUGGGCUUGCGCCUAGGACAGACGACCACUUAGGACGCUGUAUGAGGGCCAGCGCUAAGACAGGAUCAACCUUAUCUAGCUCCUUACAUGAACGGACCUAGGCCGGACGGCUGGGGAGUUGCUUUUAUUCCGGUUGCACCCGGGGGUUGCAUCUAUCCGUAUUGAUGUGUUGCGGGGGCUUGCAGGCGUGGUUAAGAUGCUUUUGCAAGGGUUGGCUAGCUCUUAAGCCCGGGCGCAUCAUUGCAUCGGCCUCUUUUGAUGCUACUGUAAGGUUUGGCUGAUGACAGCUUUGCGCACGCAAACGUGCUUGGAUUGGGUCGUCAAGCUUCAAAAGACGCGUUUCGCAUGGCCUAUGGCGAUAACGUGCUUCCAGGUGCUGAAGUAGCCGCGUUGGCGCGCGCGAUGGCGGCCAUCAGCGGUUCGCCGCGGCCAUCGAGACUCCCUAGAGGGCACGGUAAGUCUUCAGCUUCAGUCCGCUACUCGAAAUUGGUGUGCAUGGAGUUCAUAGAGGAUAUGACUCACGGUACUGCAGCUGCGCAUUGACAUUGACGAGUAGGGCGCGCGCCCUCCGAGUGCGCGCCAACUGCACCCGGGCAGCUGCCGAUGUACGGCGCUCGUCCGAGUUCUCCUAGCAACCUCUCAUGAGCCAUCGCAGUAUUAAAGCACUGUGGCAUCGACAAUUUCUUACAACCCUAAGCAAUUACAACUGCGACAUCUUACGAAGCUCAUCAGGUCAGACUUAGCGUUUUGCAACAAUCAGCCUCUUCAUCACCAAACUGCAAACAUGAAUUUAGCAGCCAUAAAUAGGGUCAAAGUUUUAGUAGCUGUCUGCCUGGCAAUCGCGGCGCCAACACACGCAGCGGGCACCGGCGCGCGGCCUGAAUCGGUGGCGGCCUUCCUGCGCGGCGGCAACUUGCCAAGCAUGGGCAACAUAGGUGAGUACUUGAAGGCAACUGGGGAUGGGCUGGUAAGGGGUCAGGGGAUUGUAAUCAGCAGCGUCCAAUCUGGCUUACAGCGCCAACAGACCUUAGACUAAUGUUAACGACCAGCACCAGCACGCACAAGCACCGUGUGUGAUGUUGUGACCAAACCCGUUCAACACUCACUUCAUUUGCACAUAACUGUCCCUGCUGUGCCGCGCAGGUGCACUGGCAGCAGGGACUUCAUCCAUCACUCCCGCUACUCAGGCAGCCGCCACCAGCACCGCCCGACCGCUGCAGCGCCUGCUGCAAUCCGACCCCACACUGCCCUUCACCUGCACCGGCAUCUCCCCGCCACAAAACUGCAAGCCGUCGCCGCUCUUUGGCAACAGCAUGGACUGCAGCCAGGCCACCUGCCCCCUGGAGCCCGCGGACGCCACCACGUUUGAGGACUGCGUGUGCGCCACGAACUGCCGCGGCGCAGUGAUGAUCGCGCAGUGCGCGGUGGGCUACAGGCAGUGCGACCAGAGCUGCGUGCCCUUGAUGCAGACUGGCUGCCCCAGCUCCUGCUACCUCAAUGUAAGCCUGGGUUCUAGCCGCCUGGGGUGGGCUUUAAACCUUACUUUGGAGUUGCGAGGCAAGGGUUGGCAGUCGUGUAGUCAAGUGUCAUCAAGUCUGUGGGAGUAGUCCGGGGCCCUGCUGCUGCCGGGAAGUCAGGCUGUGCACCAGCAGCCUGUCAGGCAGGGGUGCCGCUACUAGUCACAGCCUCUCUUGCUGCCGCACCCAGUAAAUUAGGGCCCCUGCCGCAACACGCACGAUGACUCACCUGCGGCGACUCACCUGCGGCCCAAUGUGCCCCUGCCACCUCCCCCCCCCACCUCAUCCACCGCCCACCCCUGCAGUUGGCGUUCUACACCUACUGCCGGUGUUCACCGGCCGAGGUCGCGGAGUGCGUGCAGUCGGUGGUGGAGGCAGUCAAACAGACCUACCUGCAAGUGUGCGCCAAGCUGCCGCGCCGGGAUGGCAGCCCCGUCAACGCAUUGCCGCCCCAAACCUGGGAGCCCGCGCCCGCGCCCAUCCAGCCGGAGCCGGAGCCAUUCCCUGAGCCGGAGCCGUCCCCUGAGCCGGAACCGUCCCCUGAGCCGGAACCCACCCCUGAGCCGGAACCGUCCCCUGAGCCGGUGCCAUCAUCUUCUCCCUCGCCUACCCGCUCGCCCUUACCUUCGCCUGCUGCUUCUCCAUCACCCUCCCCAUCCCCCAAGCCGUCGCCCUCCCCGGCCCUCCGGCCACCGCCCCCUUCCCUAAGCACCCCGGAGCCUGACGCCCUCUACGGCCCGCCUCCAGCGUGGGAGGACGCCUCUCCGCCGCCGCCCUCCCCACGGCCGCCACGCCCGCGCCCGCCCAGCCCCAAAGCCUCACCGCCGCCCAGCCCUCAGCCCUCUCGUACUUCACCCAGCCCCGUGCCUCUCCUUCCUCCCCAGAGCCCACAGUCCCCGGAUCUGCCUUCUCCCGCCGAGCCUCCCAGCCCCGAGCCACCCAGCCCCGAGCCACUCACCCCCGAGCCACCCAGCUCUGAGCCACCGUCACCUGAGCCGCUGCUGCCGCCCCAGAGCCCCAGCUAUGGACAGCCCACGCCGGCCCCUUCCUACAGUCCUGCUCCCCCGUACGGCGGCUCGUACCCGCCUUCGCCUGUGUACGGGCCGUACGGUGGCGUUCAGCCGCCACCGCCUGCUGCUUACGGGUCGUACGGCAGCCCUCCUUCGCCAGUGUACGGCGGUUACAGCUCAAGUCCGUCCCCCUCCGCAGCUUAUGGGUCCACCGAUACGAACCGUCCGCCUCGGCCGCCACGCAAGCUCCAUUCCCGGCCGCGCCCCGUGCCGCAGUGAGGGGCUAGGGGCGUGCUCCCGAACAUGCAUUUGAAUGAAUUGCAUGGUACCACGCAGCAGGUGCAGGCAAAUACAAUACGGUAUUCGUACAUAUAGAGGAAUGCCGCACAAAAGCGCAUUCGCAUGUUGGUGUGUGCGUGAGGUUGAGCAGUUUCGAGCAGGGCUUUCCUGUACAUACUUCAUCUGUACAUACUUCAUCUGUCUUCAUCGGUGCGGAACUGCAUUGAGCAGGCCAGUAGCGGGAGCUAAUCAGGGAUCCGCGGGUCGCCUCCGCCUCGAAGCAUCUUAUUUAUCACCGUAUUGAAUGUAAGCAUGGUGUGGGCCUGAGUAACAGCUCUAUGUCCAGAGCAGUCCAGAACCGUGUGCAUGUCUCUGGGUGUCCAAUCCCAGCAGCGCCGGCCUGUAGCCUUUGCCCGGUAGUCGUGUUUAUAUGUGGGUGUUCCUAUGGUGGUACGGGGGGGUUGGCUGCACACAGGAUCAGUACAUUCACGGACACACGCAUGGACACGCAUGACGUACAACGCAUGGUGUGGAGCGGGGGACGGAGGUUCGCUGCGAACGUUAUGAGCUGUAUGGGGCGGAUGCAAUGACAUACUGUAGUGGGUGGCGCAGCGGACCACGCAACAAACAUUUGCAGGAUGGCACAUGAGCAUGGCAUCUCCACCUGACGAGGUUGCCGCACGGGGUUGCCGGUCAAGGGAGCUGCACCGGGUUGUGGUGUUGGCAUGCAACUCGGGCGUCAGGUGCCACGGGCUGUAACACGUAUUUCGGUAUUUGUGACAAGACACCAACCAUGGUGCUUACCCGUGUCCCCCGAGCCUGAACGCCACCAAUCAGUCACUGGGAGCCCCAGAUUGGCAGGCCUGCAAGGCAAUUGCGGUAGUUGAUGUCAGGCGGCGCCGCUCCCCCAAGGCUGGUUUCGCUUCCCCCUUCGGCCCCAACCCAAUGUCCACUUCCGUAGGCCCAGGGACAUGUCAUCCUGGAAAAUUGGAAACGCGUUGACUUACACUCGGCUGGGUUCUUCUUCUCGAGGGGGUAUCGCGGAGAUAUCCGAUGAAUGAUAGCUAGGGAGCUCUCCAGUGUCGAGUGACCAGACACACCCCUUCGCAUUGUACACGUAACCAGCAGGUGAAUCCACGAGCGUGCAGAGCAGCGUAUGUGCAGGUCCUGAUAGUGCAUCGCCAACAACAGUGCUCCCCAGUGUACCGGUAGGAACGCCACCGGGACCAGGGCAUGCCGGGACUACCGGGCCGGCCAUCAUUGCCACGACAGCCAUCUGCAGUAGGUGUGGCUCAGUCAAUGUUAUUGAUACACAUGUAACACAAGUAUCUUACUAAGCUAUAUUAUAACUGCAUUAUAAAUCGAACGAACGCGUAAGAACUUCCGAUUCCGCCACCCACGACGACCUCGUUCACAGUCACUUCACAUUCUGCGUCCUUACGCUUCCCAAGACUCGUCACUAAAACCAACAUCCAGCUGCAAAUCACAGCGCACUGCACGAGUCGGUCGUCGACUCACUUGGCCGCGAUGGCGUCGGUCGCGCACUCGCACUCCCUGUCCACACCCGCUGUCACCCCUAAACGCUGCUGCCUUAGCGCUCUGACCUCGCCGCUAGCUCGAUGCAUCGGGCCGCUGGGCCACGCAGCGGCUUCUCGGGCAGCGCCGACGUCCCACGCCUCAGCAAGCUCUGGUCCCGCGCUCUCAGUGCACGCCUCCGUUUUAACGCCCCAGCCCGCAGCUCUGGUAACACCGCGUCCCCAGUCGCCAGCAGUCCCUGCGCCUCUCGCACCGACUCUCAGGUCACUGCUGCUCUCCGCAGCCUCCAGCUUGCCGUGCACGCUGCUGGCAGCAGCUGCCUGCUCCGCUGCGGAGCGCUCGGCCUCCGCCGCCGCCACCGCCGCAGCACCAGCAUCAGCAUCAGUGGCAGCAGCACUGACGUUUGAGCCUCGGGCACCGGAAGCGGGCGUGCUGGCAGCCCAGGUGCUGGUGCUGCUGCUGACGGCGGGCGCUGGCGCGUACUGGUGGUACGUGGUGGUGCCGACGGAGCGCGCGGCGGUGGGGCGUAGCAAGCGGCUGGGCGCCCUCAACAACUACCUCGGAGAGCUGGAGGCGCCGCAGGCGACACAGGAGCGCAAGUGGGUAUGCUAUGGUGAAAAUGUGGGCUAAGGAGCUAGGGAUGGAGGGACGGUAGGAGUGAGACUGGACGGCGGUCGUGGUGGGGGGCGCGGGUGCAGGUUCGGCUAACAUAGUGGCAACGAGACAGCGUGGGCGGACCCGGCUGUGCUUCCGGCAUGCUCUUGCCUCAGCCUCCCAUGCACGUUAUCCUUUGCCGCCCAGACUGGAGCGCUGGUUCUACACCGACUGGCUGCAGCAACGCGAGAAGCGCCGCCAACGGCUGGGCAAGCCUGCGGCGUCAGCCGCCGCUGCCGGCUCUGCGGCAUCUCCCGCCGCUGCCUCUCCCACGGCAACCCCUGCCGAUGCCUCCGAUGGCGGGGCCCCGAGCCCAGAGGACCCGUACACUGGCGAGCACGUGCCGUACAGCGAUGACCUGCUGCGACCCACUGUGGAGACGCCCACGCCGCGCUUCUUGUCCCUGGACAACCCGUUGGUCGCCACGGCGGCGCUGCUGACGCUGGUGGGCGUCGUGUCCACGCUUUUGCAUGGGUAAUGGGUGUGAUGAAGUGGCCUAGGGUCGUCAGCGCCCCAAGGGAUACAUUGCGGCUUUUCGUGUCCACUGGGUAGGUUGGGUAGAUAAUCAUGCGAACAGUGUGUAUCAAAGAUAGAAGUGCCGAGUACCCCUGCACCUGGCUUUCGUUCUCUUUGUACGUCAGGACGAUGAGAAAUGCUUGCUAAUACGACGUAUCAGUGGUGGGGGCUCAGCCUGCUGUGUUGAUGCUGUGUUGAGAGUGGGCAGUGGAGGCGUGCAGGGAGCGGCUGCGUAGAUUAACACAGGUGUCCUUGCUAGGACUGUGGGCUACGAGGAUGGGGGUUGUCUCGCUUGGAGCGCAAGUGGCGUGAGCAAGGCUGCAAGGGCUGUGCAGUGUGCAGUGCCUGGCAGUGUUUGUGAAGGCGUUGCGGCGUCGGCACGUGCACACCUGAUAUGAAGGCUACUACCACAUGGGAAAUGCAAGCCACCUAUGUGAUGCACGUUUGUGAUGCUACCGUUGCUAUUGUAUAGGAGUAGGACUGGCACGACGAGAGGAUAGUAACGAACGGGGCAAGGCAACGGGGAGCAUGUCAUUGGAGUAUGGAAAGUAGCGACACUCAGCGACUGGACUUGCCGGCUAGCGGGCACUGGCGCUGAGCAGCAGGAGACACAUGGCAAUCGCUUGCAGAGCUACACAGGCAUGAACUGCAAGGUCACUAGAUGAGGCAGGCUUUGGCGGCCCGGGUGUAUCACGCCCGGGACAGAGGAAUACCCACAGCUGCAACACUAUUGUAACUCAAUAUCGAGCACCGACGAUGCACCGUGGUUGCUGCCCGCACACCCACAUUAAGCCCACGCAACCCCGUGGCCCACCGCAGCACCACCGAACGCUCGACGUUGCACGCAAAUGGCGGGCUCUCCCCGUCGGCUACCACUCUUGGGCUGCUGCAGGGAAUUCCAGUAUUUUACUUACCUGCUGGUCAACGGUCCGGCUGGGUGUGCGAUGGGACAGUUGUAAGGCAGGUUGGUGAAGUCCCGUAGGGUGCCGCUGGAUGUGCGAUGGGACAGUGGUAAGGCAGGUUGGUGAAGUCCCGUAGGGUGCAGCUGAUUCCCAGAACCCAACAGAUGGCACACAAUUGGCAACGGCAGGGCAUGAGUGCGCGGCUGGUCGAACGCCGGGGUGAUUGUACCGACGAGUUGCUGGCUGGCUGGAAGGGUGCUGAAGCGCAUUCCGGUCCAGCUCGGUAGCGUUCCCAUGUUCCGAAUCCUUGCCGCCCUCGCACACCCUAAAGCAUCCCCUAGUCCUUGGCCACCACGAAGCGGCUGACUGGCUGAUUCUCAGAUACCCAUCCCACCUUCAAAGCGAAACCCACAGGCACAGGUACAACUCAUGUCGCGUUGACUUACACUCGGUUGGGUUUUUCUUCUCGGGGGUGAGAUAUCUGAUGAAUGAUAGCAUCCGAUCUCUCCAGUGUCAAGUAACCAUGCCUAACCCUGAUGCCUAGGGUAUUGUACACGGUGCCGCCACGUAACCAGCAGGUACGGGCUAAUUAUUGUGAAGUCACGCGCGUUUGGGGGAAACCAAUAGCAGCGUAUAUACAAACGCAAAACCGCAUAACCUCAGAACACCAGCAAAACUGAGACCCAAAAGUCUCAAAGAAUGUCCUUGCGUCAUGCGAUCACGCUUGGCUUAGCCACACACCAACAACACACACACACACACUCUCAUUGCACUCGCUCAAACACCAACAAACAUCACACACGGCUCAGAUCGACGAGCGCCUCCAUUUACACGGAGCGCUUGUUGGCGGGCUGGAAGUCGCGGGCAGUCUUGGGGCGCUGGACCAGGAAGCCCAUGAUCUGCACCUGCUUCUGGUUGUCGAAGGCCACCAGGCGCACGUAGGCAUCGGGGAAGGCCUUGGUGCAGGCGACGAUCUCGCGCAGCACCUGCAUGGGGUCGCGGCAGCCGAACAUGGGCAGCUUCCACAUGGUCCAGUAGCGGUUGUCGUAGUACAGCUGCGGGCGCACGGGAAAUGGGAGGGAGAAGAGGUUCAGUCACCAGCGCACAGAACCACCAAAGAUGGAAUUGGGCCCCUUGCUUUUCCGUGCUGAAGCACGAGCAGGGGUAUGCGUCAGUUCCCCGCGGUGAGAUAGGCGCUGUCCCGGUGCCAAGCUAACCCAGUGCCACAGUGGACCCGUCUGGCUCUCGCUCCGACUUACGCAAGACACGCUGCCGAAGCGGAUGGCCGACUCGUUGGACACGUAGGCCUUGUCGGCCUCAGCGAACUCCAGGCAGGGGAUCCAGCCUGCAAGCGACAGCACGAAGGGGGUAAGAUAAGUGGCCGACGCAAGCAGUCCAGGGCUAUCCCAGAUAAGGGCGGAUGACAGGCAAACUAUACAGCAGACAACGAACAAGCUAAUCUCAAGCUUCGAGCGAUCGUAAUGUCGCAGUCUGCAGCUACGCCCUAGAUCGUAUUAACUAGCUCUCAAACACAGCCCAGCUACAUAUGCCCACGGCACCAAGCCGUGCUCACCGUUGGCGACGAUGUAGUCGACCUGGGCGGCGAUCUGCUCGUCGGUCAGAGGAGGCAGGUAGGAGAAGGUCUCGAACAUCCUGCGAUCACGCGAUUGACCAGUACUCGUUAGAAGUGGCAGAGCACGUGCGAUGUGAGGCAGCAGGCUGGGCCCCAAGCAAUUGCGUCGCGACUUGCAGAAUCCCUAUCCUUCGGGCUGCGCUUGCUCGUCGACUCACUUGUUGUUGACCGGGGUCCAGACCAUCAUCUGGUUGGCCUGAGCCGGGGCAGCCACGGGGGCAGCCUUGACGGCGGGCUUCAGCGCGGCCAUGGGGCGCACGCUGGAGCGGGCCGGGCGAGCCACGGCCGCGGAGACGGAGGACUUGGCAAUGACGGCGGCCAUUUUAGAUGUUUGAGAAAGUGGUCGAAUGAACGAGUAAGUUCUUGGGACAAAGACUCGGAGGUGGCCGGUCGCCGUUUUCAAUCCCCGCUCGCCGAUGACCCGUACGGCAGGCUUAUCCGACUCGUCGGCUUUCACGACCGCCCGAGCCUGCGCGCUUCAUCCGCUUCCGGAUAGCUUGCUACGAUAAUGCAUUAUUCAAUUUUACGACGCAAUGUCAUGAGCAGCGCCGGGCGGGCUUAUUUACAUGCGUCGCCUCGCUCGCCGUUGACUUGAUACUUUGGAAAUUCGGGCUCGAUUCGUUGCUACAGCCUGCCUUUUGCACACAAUGUGAACGUCGAUUCUACAUUUGUAUGUGACUGAACUUCGCGGCCCCUACUGAACGUUUCGUGCAAGCGACAUGUCGACUCACAACUUGGAGGAACGCGCGAGGGGUCCCCACACGCACUUUCAGCCUGCUUUGGCGAAAUGGACAUGAUAGGUAUAGCCAGGAUAUGGGUCUGCUAGCUCGCCUGGUGUUUUGACCGUCGAUCGGUUUCGCGUUGGGCCUUGCGGCUGCUCGCUCGCCGCGGAUGCUUCCGCACACUGCGCGGCACGUGUUAGUCUGUGCACGACGACGGUUUGUUUGUAUUGCGCCGCCAACGUUCAACGGUGGUGGUAGGUUCGAAUGUCAGAAUGUCGGGCACGGGGACCUUGGGCGCAUUGCCUACAAGCGCGUGCCUGUGUUUUUGGGGGGCAGAGAAGUGAGCCUGCCUAUUGGGUCACAAUAGCACAGAGGCGGGUGGCCAGCGUCGGGAACUGGUUCAGAACGGCUGCAGGGACAGCACCGUGCGUGCGUGUGUGUGUGGGGGGAGCCUUCAAAGUUGACGAGCUUCGCAGCGCUGGGAUGGACUGGCAUUGCGUGCUUGAGUUUGCGUCCCGUGAGAACCCUGCAGUUUAUGGCGGAGACAGGGAAGAGGGAAUGGGAUCGCGCCGGUGCAGGGAAAGGGCACGAAUCUGAGGUUACGGUAUCUGGGGGGAGGUGCCCAUGUGGGAGGGGAAGCCUAACUGCCUGUCUGGGUGCAGACCAGGAAUGGCAACACGUGAACGGUUAGUAGAGAGCUGUGUGCUGUUGGGCGCUCUCGGCAAGGGGCGUGGGAGGGGGCUGGGUUGGUGGGCGGCUGUCCGCACAGUGCCUAGCAGUGCGCACUCAGGCCCUUCGCAGACCGAAGAGGGCGCCAGGGCCUAUGCGCGCGUGGCUUGGCGUGAGGUUCUUGCUGUUGGCGUCAGGCGCCGCAAAAGGCCGGGUGGCUCUGCAGUGUCCUGCUCGCUUGGCGUGCGGCAAAGUGGUUCAGUCAGCGAGCGCAGUGUAUGCGUGUGUGCGUGUAUGCGUGUGCGUGCGUGUGUGUGUGUGUGUGUGUGUGUGUGUGUGUGUGUGUGUGGUUGCUGCGGAGAGGGCACGCAGCGACACGAGAUUGCCAUGCAGUGGUGCAAGCUGCUGGGGUCGGGUAAACGGGGUGGGAAAGUUGGUGAUGGUGGAAUGUUCUUGUGGCACGAACUGGCCUUGUGCGUAUUCGUUCGCCCCGUUCACUCUGGUCCACCAAUCCCACAGUCACUGCACUUAAAUGCCUAAAAGCCCCUGCUACGGUGCGGACAGGGUAAGGCCACGGCAGGUCUAAGUCCAUAUGCGCCCGUAGAGGUUCGAGUGCGUUAACCGGUCGCAAGGUGUUCACAACAUGUUGAUGUGUUGACAACAUGGCUGUGGUCAAGACGUGCCCUGCGAACUUCCCGUGUUUACAUGUUAAUAGAGCUCGCUGACAGCAGUCAUUUGACACCAUUAUGGAAGAAAACAGAGGGGAUUUAGGGGGUGUACGGCACGGUAUGGCACGGUCGGUCGUCGGUCCGGGGGGUCGGGGGGUUCUGCAGGGUGGGGCCUGGAACUAUUGUUCGUACACCCCCGCCUGGCUCCCCUGCUCCCCCUGACUAACCCCUGACCUCUGGCUUUCUUCGCUUUCCUUUCAGUGUCACCAAUUCUCAUGAGUGGGGGCGCACCCCGAAAUAAGCGGGUACGGUGCUUCAGUUCAGUGCUUGCCACGGCCUCAAGAGCCCCAAACCACGUGCACCGAAAUUCGCUUGCACUCCAAAUGCACUGGGAAGCCAGUAGCAGCGCGCUCUCAAAUGCUGGCAUGUGUCUCUCUCUGUCCAGAGCCUGAAUGCGCCAAGUCUGCUACGGUAGGAGGGUGCAACCCGUGGCCCGCCUUGAACCGCGCUUGCACACACAGCUGGAUUGCUGCUGGCAUGACCGUGUGAAAGAGGUACAGGCAGCCGGGCAAGUCCCAGCGGGCAGGUUGGUGUAGGCUAUGCCCCAUAACAGGCCCGUGCAUGCUGCCACGGACUUCUCGCCAGGAAUGUAAGUCCCGAUGCUAGACAAUUACUCCAGCAGCUGCAUGCCGCCAUCUUCAGUACUCGGUAUCCCUUGGUGCACGCAAGUCAAGGAUCAGUCCCAGGGCUCACCCUGGAGCAAUGCAGCCUGCGUGUGCACCUGCGAUGGAGCCGCGGCCUGCGGUAUUGGCUGCCCGAUUACGAAGCUGCGGGUGGGGGCAGUUGGCACGCAUUCCGCCACAGACCCCGCGAGCCUAGCCGCACCCAAGCUCUAAGCGGCCUAGACCGUGACCAAAGGCGAAGAAGCCGCGGCCAUCCCUGCGCUCAGAUUGCAUUGGUUACAAGAGGGACCUGCUGACGCAGUUCAUGGCUUCAUGCGCUCAGAGCCCGAGCCCUGAGCGGCAGCAAAAGCAGAAGCCACGCUACGUGUGCUAGCUACGACCAAUGCCUUGUACAGCUCUCCUCGGCUGCGCUCUUCGGCUGCGCUCCUCGGCUGCGCGGGACAGGGGACUCCGUGCAACCACUAUUGCUUAUAGCCUGCACCAGUCAUUGACGAGUGUUGCGGAACUAAUGCGUACGUAGACCAGAGCGGAAGGCGGAGUGGGCUUGCAGGCGGCACGAGAGUAGGCAGUCAGUAGCGCAAGUUGCGAAUUCCCAUGUUACCUCGUAACCGACGGUAAACGCUGUGGACGGUCGCGCCCAUGGCUGGCUGACGGAAGCUGGCUGCGGUAUUGGGAUGGCUGGGCUGGAUGACGCCGGCCGGGCUGGCGUUGGGACUACCAGAAAGGAUGCGCCCGAAACCAACCUGGAGAACACCAGCGCCACCGGUGCCCAGCACGACAUGUAAGGGAGGGAGGGAGGGACAGGAGGCGUGAUGCACUGCAGCGUAGAAGCUGCAGUCAUGGGCACAGCUUGUACCAUACAGCACGGUCAUCAAGGACACAAUGCCGGAACGGCAUCAUACGAGGCGGGGUUGGGAGCUGCAGGAAGUGGGCAGCGGGGCAGAAUCAAAGGUUUGCAUCGUUUAGAACAGGUGCGGAACACGCGCCAGCGCCAGCGCGGAGGACCCCAAGUAAGGCCUUUACUCACCAAUGUACGUUUUGUACACCCAAUCUCGCCCCCUAUCGACGUUGGCACUAGGUAGCUGGCUAUCAUUCUAUGCAGAUUAAGCAAAGGGGCACCGGGAACAACUGACUCAUGUUCGUCACUGCAGGUUACUGCAAAUGCUGUCUCCACCUUUGCUGCACGGUUCCGUUUCGUCACGUUUGCUGGUGUUGCUACCCGCCGUUCUUUAGUGUGUAACUGAUCUGCGAACCGAGUCCCCUUCAGCUGAUGAACCCCGCAGCAACUUUUCCAAAAGCGCUUCAAAUACGCCCAGCCCGCCCAUGGAGAAAGAGGCCAAAAUCAACGGAGGAUCGUUACAACCAACAAAAUUGCAAAACUCCUCCGCUUUUUACGUGUUGAAAAAGACUGAUCAGCACGAAACGGGGAGCUAAGCUACCGCUUCAGCACUUGAGAGCAGUAUCUUCCAUCCACCGCCGUUCGUCAGGGGGCAAGGCUCAGAUCAACGAGCGCCUCCAUUUACACGGAGCGCUUGUUGGCGGGCUGCCAGUCGCGGGCAGACUUGGGGCGCUGGACCAGGAAGCCCAUGAUCUGCACCUGCUUCUGGUUGUCGAAGGCCACCAGGCGCACGUAGGCAUCGGGGAAGGCCUUGGUGCAGGCGACGAUCUCGCGCAGCACCUGCAUGGGGUCGCGGCAGCCGAACAUGGGCAGCUUCCACAUGGUCCAGUAGCGGUUGUCGUAGUACAGCUGCGGGCGCACGGGAAAUGGGAGGGAGAAGAGGUUCAGUCACCAGCGCACAGAACCACCAAAGAUGGAAUUGGGCCCCUUGCUUUUCCGUGCUGAAGCACGAGCAGGGGUAUGCGUCAGUUCCCCGCGGUGAGAUAGGCGCUGUCCCGGUGCCAAGCUAACCAGUGCCACAGUGGACCCGUGUGCCAAAAGCUAACCCAGUGCCACAGUGGACCCGUCGGGCUCUCGCCAGACUUACGCAAGACACGCUGCCGAAGCGGAUGGCCGACUCGUUGGACACGUAGGCCUUGUCCGACUCAGCGAACUCCAGGCAGGGGAUCCAGCCUGCAAGCAAGGGGAUGAAGGGUGCCGCGAAGGGUGAACGAGGGACAAAGACACGGACAGGAACCGGAUAAGGGGCGGCUUGACCAAGAACUCACGCUCCGACCGCUACUUCGGCAACCCAAAUAAGUGAUUCCACGCUAUGGCUCUGUCGCUGUCGUAUAGCCCGGCUGGUAGCAGCUGGAAAGCUCAAGUGAGGCUGGACAAGCCGCGCUGGCAUGAGUGCAAGCUGUUUGCCCAAGAAAAAGCCGCCGAAAGCCCAGGCUGACUGCAGAUUCCUGACUUGGGCACUGUUCGUUGCUGGAGUGUUGCUCGCAACCCCGCAAGCUCACCGUUGGCGACAAUGUAGUCGACCUGGGCGGCGAUCUGCUCGUCGCUCAGGGGGGGCAGGUAGGAGAAGGUCUCGAACAUCCUGCAAAUGGAAACGGCGACGCAGGGUUAGAUGCUGCUUGAGACAGCGACAGAGGAGCCAAAAGCCUUCGUCGACACAAUGCGGGCGUUGCAAGUCAAAUCUGCAAGCACGCUGCCUGAUCCGCCGGGCUUGCUCGUCGACUCACUUGUUGUUGACCGGGGUCCAGACCAUCAUCUGGUUGGCCUGAGCCGGGGCAGCCACGGGGGCGGCCUUGACGGCGGGCUUCAGCGCGGCCAUGGGGCGCACGCUGGAGCGGGCCGGGCGGGCCACGGCCGCGGAGACGGAGGACUUGGCAAUGACGGCGGCCAUUUUAAGAUGUUGAGUGACUUCUCUU
Molecule: long non-coding RNA, 28009 nt
Filed under: Chlamydomonas reinhardtii
Lineage: Eukaryota; Viridiplantae; Chlorophyta; Chlorophyceae; Chlamydomonadales; Chlamydomonadaceae
Description: long non-coding RNA (CREI_LNC000175)
Source: RNAcentral